CCAACUCCACUUAUAAUCUCCUGAAAAGUUAAAAAAAACAUCUGAAAACUAUCCGAUAUUGAACUGGAAAUGUAAGUGAGUGAUAACCACACGAACCGGCGCGAUGUAUUCUUCAGUUCCCACGAAAGAAUUUGAUGCUCGAACCGGUUCGCUAUCGGAUGCAAAAAUCUAGUGAUCAAGAUAAAAAAAAUGUUGAGUUUUCUUACAUACAGUCAAAUUGAUUUUGUAACGGCCAAAAGAGUUGCAAAGACUAGUUUACGACGGUUUAGGCCAAAACAAUGUCUCGUCGCGAAUUUUUGCGAUAAAAAUAUGAUGUCAGAUUUUAGCAACGGAAUAUCUAUUGCUACUUAACAUGUGUGUAAUUUGUAGCGAUGGUUUAUUGACAGAAGUGUUAGCGACCACAUUGUGUUCUAGUGUUAUUAACAAUUAUCUUUUGUCUAUAUAGCAAUGAUGAAUUAUUUUCUAGCAAAGACCGCGCAUAACUUACAAUGGGAUUAUCAGGAAGUCGUGG
This 511-nucleotide long non-coding RNA is filed under the name Helianthus annuus (common sunflower). RNAcentral's name for it is "sRNA HanXRQr2_Chr04g0164501". Lineage: Eukaryota; Viridiplantae; Streptophyta; Magnoliopsida; Asterales; Asteraceae. The record is from RNAcentral.